GAUGAACGCUGGCGGCGUGCCUAAUACAUGCAAGUCGAGCGAACAGACGAGGAGCUUGCUCCUCUGACGUUAGCGGCGGACGGGUGAGUAACACGUGGAUAACCUACCUAUAAGACUGGGAUAACUUCGGGAAACCGGAGCUAAUACCGGAUAAUAUAUUGAACCGCAUGGUUCAAUAGUGAAAGACGGUUUUGCUGUCACUUAUAGAUGGAUCCGCGCCGCAUUAGCUGGUUGGUAAGGUAACGGCUUACCAAGGCAACGAUGCGUAGCCGACCUGAGAGAGUGAUCGGCCAAACUGGAACUGAGACACGGUCCAGACUCCUACGGGAGGCAGCAGUAGGGAAUCUUCCGCAAUGGGCGAAGUCCUGACGGGGCAACGCCGCGUGAGUGAUGAAGGUCUUCGGAUCUUAAAACUCUGUUAUUAGGGAAGAACAAAUGUGUAAGUAACUAUGCACGUCUUGACGGUACCUAACCAGAAAGCCACGGCUAACUACGUG
This 497-nucleotide ribosomal RNA is filed under the name uncultured bacterium. RNAcentral describes it as "partial 16S ribosomal RNA". It matches the Rfam family "Bacterial small subunit ribosomal RNA", at positions 28 to 507 of the family's 1533-position model. The record is from RNAcentral.